CUUUGAACUGCUCUUGAACUUCUUUAGCUUUAGCAAAUGUAGAAGAACGAUUCAACACAGACUCAAGUCGACCCAUAUGUAUGCCUACUGGAAGAAUUUUAAUGUAAACUGUACGACCAAAAUAAUCAAGUCCGAUGUGACCUCGCUUAGAUUCAUAAUCUAGACCUAGCAUUCUACUACAGCAUGACAGAAAAUGACGUGCAUAAUCAAAAGUAUGAAAACCAAUCAGGUCGCAGUUUAAUAAUCCUUUUAGAAUUUCAUCCCUAACUGGGAGAGUCCGGUAAAUUUCUGAUGAUGGGAAUGGGCUAUGAAGAAAGAACCCAAGCUUCACUCUAUGGUACCUCUUUCUUAAGAAUGUGGGAAGAACCAUGAGGUGGUAAUCUUGAACCCAGAUAUAAUCAUCCUCGGGAUUAACCACUUCCAUAACCUUAUCAGCAAAUAACUUGUUUGCUGAGACAUAAGCUUGCCACAGCUGACGGUCAAAACGAUCUGCAUGGUCUGGGCACAUUGGGAGCAUGUAAUGAAAAAG
RNAcentral lists this unclassified non-coding RNA (529 nucleotides) under Hevea brasiliensis (rubber tree). Lineage: Eukaryota; Viridiplantae; Streptophyta; Magnoliopsida; Malpighiales; Euphorbiaceae. The record is from RNAcentral.